This 439-nucleotide ribosomal RNA is filed under the name uncultured bacterium. RNAcentral's name for it is "partial 16S ribosomal RNA". It matches the Rfam family "Bacterial small subunit ribosomal RNA", at positions 339 to 795 of the family's 1533-position model. The record is from RNAcentral.
CUACGGGCGGCACCAGUGAGGAAUAUUGCACAAUGGGGGGAACCCUGAUGCAGCAACGCCGCGUGGAGGAUGACGCAUUUCGGUGUGUAAACUCCUUUUAUAUGUCAAGAAAAUGACGGUAGCAUAUGAAUAAGCACCGGCUAACUCCGUGCCAGCAGCCGCGGUAAUACGGAGGGUGCAAGCGUUACUCGGAAUCACUGGGCGUAAAGGACGCGUAGGCGGGUUGGAAAGUCAGGUGUGAAAUCCUACAGCUUAACUGUAGAACUGCACUUGAAACUUCUAAUCUAGAGUAUGGGAGGGGGAGAUGGAAUUAGUGGUGUAGGGGUAAAAUCCGUAGAUAUCGCUAGGAAUACCUAAAGCGAAGGCGAUCUCCUGGAACAUUGCUGACGCUAAGGCGUGAAAGCGUGGGGAGCAAACAGGAUUAGAUACCCUAGUAGUC